UAAAAACUAAAAUAAAUAUAUAAAUAGAAAUGAGACAGGGGUGUGGAUCAUGUACGGAGGUACAAUCAGCAAGUUUGGGCCUUAAGCCCAAAAUCCAAACACGAGCCUCAGUAAUGCGUCAGGGUCAUGAAUGAAACGCUUCUCCAUUCGUGCUCUCUGAUCCUCACCCUCUCAUCUCACAAAUUCAAUCAAAACACAAACAUAAAAUUGAAUCUGCUCGAGGUUAACUCAUCAAGAUCUUGAGUACAUCAAUCGUAUUCAUCACUCGCGUUCGAAAUCGAUCAAAAAUGAAUCACAAUUAGCGCAUCAAAGUGAAUCGCGACAUACAACGAAUCAAGGAUUGCAAUUGAGUCAAGAACAUGGAAGAAAGCUUACCGUAUUUGAACUCUGGCGCGCUGAUUCUCCGGAUAAUCAACAUGUAUUGAAUCUUCUUGGCUCUGCUUCGCUUUAAUCCACUUUUCUUCUUCUUCUGUUUUCCAUUUCUGCUGCGUUGAAUCGAGAGUGAGAGUUGAAGAACGAGAGUGAGGAGUUUCUGAGCUUGAUUCUCUUUCUCUUCUUCUCUUCUUCUGUGAUUUCCGCUUCUUCGUGAGAGAGAGAAUCGUGUUUCUGAAUUUUGCAGUGAAGUGAAUUCUGAGUUCUGAUCUCAAUCGAGAAGAGUGAUGAAUAAUUUAGAGUUUUUCGUUAUUUUUCUGUUAUGAUGAAUGAAUCUGAGAGAAGAUGAAAUUGUUGAGUGAUGGAUUUUAUAGAGAUUUGAUGUUCAAAUUAUGUUAUGAAAUGCAAUCGAAAUGCACAUGUUAGUUACAAAUGCCAAGUUCUGUUGGAGUUGAAUGAGUUAGUUAGUUUGAGUUAGUUGCAAAAUCUGAAUUUAGCUUAGUAGGGUGAUGAUUAUGUACGUGUUGGCUUGGUUAGCUUAUUAUGGAAUCCAUUUAACUGUUACACGAAAAUGAAGGGAAUGUUGGUUUUCUGACUUGUGUGAGUUGUGGGGUUUGUAGGGCAAUGUGCAUGGUCUGAAGUAGGGUCGUGGAUUAUUGUAUCAGUUUGAAGGGUAAUGAUUCAAAUUCUAUGUGUUCACUUGCUUGGGAUGUUUAGAUGUGGAGACAUGGAAAUGCUUGUAGGUUCAGAGUUGGUAACAGUCAUGUAUUUGGCAUGCAUGUGUUGUAUGGCAAUUGAAUUGAAUUAGAAUAUUUGAAUGGAAAGUGUUGAAUGAAUGUUAUUGAAUUGACAUUGUAGGGCAUGAAAUUUGAAUGGAAAGUUUAUUGGAUGAUGUAUGGAAAUGGUUUUGUAUUGAUUUGUAUGGAAAGUUAUGAAUGGAAAGAUGUAAUUGAUUGUAAGAAAUGUGUAAUUGUUUGGAUGGUUAUGGAAAUAUUUGAAUGUGUAUUAAAUGAUAUGUUAUGGAUUGUGAAUUGAAAUAAACACAGGUUUAGGUUCACCUGGAUUUAAAAGUUAGUAGUAACAUGAAAUGAAUUGGCUUGUUAAAAAUGAAAUGAACAAAAUGGCAUAGAGAAUGGAUCAAGACAUGGACCAUUGAGCAUGAGCUUGAAAAUGACUUUAGGGAAGAUGUAUGAAGACCGAAUAGUAAAUGGGCUAGUAGUGAAGAUGUAUGAAUGGUAUAGAUAAAAAAGGCUAAAUACUCUUUUUGGUUCUGUAUCUUUACCCCGGAGUUCAUUUUGGUUUCUCAACUUUAAAA
RNAcentral lists this long non-coding RNA (1687 nucleotides) under Lathyrus oleraceus (garden pea). RNAcentral describes it as "Pisum sativum (pea) long non-coding RNA (PSAT_LNC012759)". The record is from RNAcentral. Lineage: Eukaryota; Viridiplantae; Streptophyta; Magnoliopsida; Fabales; Fabaceae.